Anolis carolinensis (green anole) is the source of this 77-nucleotide small nuclear RNA. The record is from Ensembl. Lineage: Eukaryota; Metazoa; Chordata; Lepidosauria; Squamata; Anolidae.
GUGCUCGCUUCGGCAGCACAUAUACUAAAAAAUUGGAACGAUACAGAGAAGAUUAGCAUGGCCCCUGCGCAAGGAUG